GAACCCCUGGCGCAGUUGGUAGCGCGUGAGAUUCCAGCAAAGCCUGAGCCUCCGGUAGGCUGCGGGCACUCCCGCAGUCUACCGGAGGCGAACACCAGUGCAGAGAGAAUCCUCAAGGUCAUCCGUUCAAAUCGGGUGGGGUUCA
Molecule: transfer RNA, 145 nt
Filed under: Agrocybe pediades
Lineage: Eukaryota; Fungi; Basidiomycota; Agaricomycetes; Agaricales; Agrocybaceae
Description: tRNA-Trp
Source: RNAcentral